ACCUACGGGGGGCAGCAGUGGGGAAUAUUGCACAAUGGGGGAAACCCUGAUGCAGCGACGCCGCGUGAGUGAAGAAGUAUUUCGGUAUGUAAAGCUCUAUCAGCAGGAAAGAAGAAGGACGGUACCUGAGUAAGAAGCCCCGGCUAACUACGUGCCAGCAGCCGCGGUAAUACGUAGGGGGCAAGCGUUAUCCGGAUUUACUGGGUGUAAAGGGAGCGUAGACGGCGAAGAAAGUCUGAAGUGAAAGCCCGCGGCUCAACCG
Molecule: ribosomal RNA, 262 nt
Filed under: uncultured bacterium
Lineage: Bacteria
Description: partial 16S ribosomal RNA
Rfam family: Bacterial small subunit ribosomal RNA
Source: RNAcentral